GGGUCGUUAGCUCAGUUGGUAGAGCAGUUGACUUUUAAUCAAUUGGUCGCAGGUUCGAAUCCUGCACGANACACC
This 75-nucleotide transfer RNA is filed under the name Enterobacter hormaechei. RNAcentral's name for it is "tRNA-Lys(ttt)". It matches the Rfam family "tRNA". From Rfam's summary of the family: Transfer RNA (tRNA) molecules are approximately 80 nucleotides in length. Their secondary structure includes four short double-helical elements and three loops (D, anti-codon, and T loops). Further hydrogen bonds mediate the characteristic L-shaped molecular structure. tRNAs have two regions of fundamental functional importance: the anti-codon, which is responsible for specific mRNA codon recognition, and the 3' end, to which the tRNAs corresponding amino acid is attached (by aminoacyl-tRNA synthetases). tRNAs cope with the degeneracy of the genetic code in two manners: having more than one tRNA (with a specific anti-codon) for a particular amino acid; and 'wobble' base-pairing, i.e. permitting non-standard base-pairing at the 3rd anti-codon position. The record is from RNAcentral. Lineage: Bacteria; Pseudomonadati; Pseudomonadota; Gammaproteobacteria; Enterobacterales; Enterobacteriaceae.